This 188-nucleotide unclassified non-coding RNA is filed under the name plant metagenome. RNAcentral describes it as "partial contains small subunit ribosomal RNA and internal transcribed spacer 1". The stretch from base 1 to 46 matches the Rfam family "Eukaryotic small subunit ribosomal RNA", at positions 1786 to 1831 of the family's 1831-position model. The record is from RNAcentral.
AAGUCGUAACAAGGUUUCCGUAGGUGAACCUGCGGAAGGAUCAUUAAUGAAAAUGUGUUGCCGGGGCCCAUAGUCCCGGCAGCUAACCUUACUUAUUCCAUAACAACCUCGUGCACUGUUGGAUUGCUUGCAUCCACUUUUAUACUAAACAAUUUGUAACAAAUGUAGUCUUAUUAUAAUUAAUAAAA